CUACGGGUGGCUCCAGUGGGGAAUAUUGGACAAUGGGGGAAACCCUGAUCCAGCAAUGCCGCGUGUGUGAAGAAGGCCUGCGGGUUGUAAAGCACUUUCGGUUGGGAGGACUGCUUCUAGCACUAAUAUUGUUGGAAGUUGACGUUACCUUCAGAAGAAGCACCGGCUAACUCCGUGCCAGCAGCCGCGGUAAUACGGAGGGUGCAAGCGUUAAUCGGAAUUACUGGGCGUAAAGCGCGCGUAGGCGGCUAGAUCAGUCGGGUGUGAAAGCCCCGGGCUUAACCUGGGAACUGCAUCCGAUACUGUCGAGCUUGAGUACAGGAGAGGAGAGUGGAAUUCGACAUGUAGCGGUGAAAUGCGUAGAUAUGUGGAGGAACACCAAUGGCGAAGGCAGCUCUCUGGCCUGAUACUGACGCUGAGGUGCGAAAGCGUGGGGAGCAAGCAGGAUUAGAUACCCCAGUAGUC
Molecule: ribosomal RNA, 465 nt
Filed under: uncultured bacterium
Lineage: Bacteria
Description: partial 16S ribosomal RNA
Rfam family: Bacterial small subunit ribosomal RNA
Source: RNAcentral